This 301-nucleotide ribosomal RNA is filed under the name uncultured bacterium. RNAcentral describes it as "partial 16S ribosomal RNA". It matches the Rfam family "Bacterial small subunit ribosomal RNA", at positions 509 to 807 of the family's 1533-position model. The record is from RNAcentral.
CAGCAGCCACGGGAACACGAAGGGUGCAAGCGUUACUCGGAAUUACUGGGCGUAAAGCGUGCGUAGGUGGUGGUUUAAGUCCGUUGUGAAAGCCCUGGGCUCAACCUGGGAAUUGCAGUGGAUACUGGGUCACUAGAGUGUGGUAGAGGAUAGUGGAAUUUCCGGUGUAGCAGUGAAAUGCGUAGAGAUCGGAAGGAACAUCUGUGGCGAAGGCGACUAUCUGGGCCAACACUGACACUGAGGCACGAAAGCGUGGGGAGCAAACAGGAUUAGAUACCCCGGUAGUCCCUGUCUCUUAUAC